Molecule: transfer RNA, 85 nt
Filed under: Tepidiphilus thermophilus
Lineage: Bacteria; Pseudomonadati; Pseudomonadota; Hydrogenophilia; Hydrogenophilales; Hydrogenophilaceae
Also listed under: 4 other names
Description: tRNA_Leu_TAG
Rfam family: tRNA
About the family: Transfer RNA (tRNA) molecules are approximately 80 nucleotides in length. Their secondary structure includes four short double-helical elements and three loops (D, anti-codon, and T loops).
Source: RNAcentral
GCCCGGGUGGCGAAAUUGGUAGACGCACCAGAUUUAGGUUCUGGCGCCGCAAGGCGUGGGGGUUCGAGUCCCUUCCCGGGCACCA